UCACAUUAUUUCUUAUCUAAAUAACGUGUUGGCCGAGUUAGACUCGGAUAUUUCCACCCAGCUCUUACUCGGUUCAGGACGCUGACGGCUCCGAUUCCCAACUCAUUCAAUGCUUCUUCCGAGGAAAACAACCGGAGAAAAAACCGAUCAAGCAAAACCCCCAAUCUUCAUCAAAAUUUUCAACAUCAGCCUUCUCAAAUUAAAAAAUUCCCCCCUCCGUAUGGAUCUCUUCCACCACCGCAGGACUUCGACUGCGUUUGAAGAGGUCAACCCACGGAGUAUUGGCCACUUUCCCAACAUUUCCUGUACCAGAACUUCUUUGAGGUAUUUUCUCGAACACAUUGUUUGCAUCAUUUUCACCUUCUGCAGCUAUUUCAGGUUGCGAUCGAUAACAGCUAUUGGUGUGUGUGUGUGUGUGUGGAUGACGGGAUAGACCAAGCAUACAAAAACAUACAUAGCAACAGUUUACUUUACAAUAUUGCAAUUCUUGUAUAUCUCUGUAUUGUCUUAAUGCUGUCUCUUGGUGAGACUACAUUGCUUGAGUUUCACAGUAACUCUGGAUUAGAGUUCCUAUAUGUAAAGAGAUAUAUCAUGAUUGUGCUUCCUAAGUAACUUUUGAUGAAAUAAAUCAAAAUCCUUCCCCCCUUGAUGCGAAGAACGCAUCAAUUCCCACAAUUGUUUGUCCUGCAGUUGUAUUAUCUUUUUAACUAGCUUGUGUUCAUAUAUUUCUACGUUUUCGUCAGUUUCAGGUCUUAUAUCCAAUAUAUGAUAUACUGAUGAAUGUAACUUGAUUCUAGUAUUUUUUGCUCUUUUUAAAUAUGCAUAGUAUGUUCCCAUGGAUCUUUGUUGCUUUAGUUUUAUUUUGAAAUGGCAAUAUCUCGACUGCCAAUAACAGUAGAACUUAUUUACUGAUAUUUUGGCAUGCUAAUAUAUGGCUACUUUUUUUACCGAUUACCGAAACUAAUGAGAAAUUCAAUCAUUUUGAUAGGGAAGGAGAACGUCUUGGUCUACAGCCAUUGCAUCCAACCAGUCGAGUGUGUAAUACUCAUCCACCAUGCUGUUGAUAGAACACACACAUGUAGUUUCUUUUGAUCAGGUAAUAAUGAAAAGAAGAAUCAUACUUUUCUUAUUAUAUAAAUUAAUUCAUUUUGCUCAACAAGUAAUAAAAAGGCGGAAAUAAUUAAUAUUAUUUGCAUUCUAUGAAACCAAAAAGCAGAUAGCUAUGAAACUCUAUCUAACUAGCUAGUUUAGUUGUCCUUCUUCAAAAGCUAUGUCCAUGCCCGUGAUGUUACCGGGAGGUACAAAAACGACAUCAUUCCACUUGGAUGUUGAGCAAUCCUGCAAAAUAUAUAUGACAAUCAACACUUGAUAGGCACGGAAAUGCGAUAAAUGACUAGAUAUUUUAAAGCCUUGUCACCUUCAUUUCUUGUAUUAUAUCUUCGAGAGCAGCAACCUAGUUACGGGCACAUGAAUAUAUAUAUUUAUCAGGAUAUUUAGUCGAGCCAAACGUGGCCAUAGUAAUAACAACAUUAUCAGAAUUAAGAAAACCUGAACAGUGCCUCUUUGCUUUGGUGCUUUAGUCUUAGCUAGAGCCGUUUCAAGGUCCUUCUGCAUUAUUUAUAAAACAUAUUGUAUUAUUGUAGAAUAUAUAAUAUUAGAAAAUGAAAUUAGUAUAGUUUGCGCCUUUCUUUUACCUCCUCAGAAAAGCAGACGAUAUUUUUGUGACUCUCCCUUGCCUUUUACUAUCAACUUAUCGGACUGCAACACGUGAUAAACAAUUUAUGAACUAGUGAAACUAAUAUGAGGAGUGUUGUACAGGUUUUUCUUCAUGUAAGUGCAUCAAUAAGUUUAAAAAGUUGAACCUGGAAAACUGGAACUCCAGCAAAUGUACCGUCUGGAAAACCUGCCUUCUGUUUCUCUUUUUCCUGUGGGUAAGAAGCCAGCUCGUAGGUUAUAUCUGUUAUUCGGAAAUAUAUAUAUAUUUAAAAUCGUAAAAAGAAUAAUAGUAAAGAGUGAAAUUUUUUAUAUGUUGGCAGAAGUCUCAUACCUGAACAGCGUUUUUUACUUCCCAUAAGUCCGGUACCAACCUGAUGGGAAAGCUGUUGCUAUAGAAAUCAACGAACUAUAAUGCAAAUGAUAAGUGAAUCAAUAGCGGAAAUUAGCAAUUACACGAUAUACAUCACAGCAUGACCAUAUUCCUGUGUAAUGAUUUGACAACUUUUUACCUCUGUAAGUGGAGCAUCAAAGAUUCGAGUGUCAGGCGAGCAUAUAAAUAUAUCCUUAAAUCUGAGAGCAUCAGGCUUAUUUAAGAAGUAGAAUUGAAUCACCCUAUCCCCAUAUUCAGAGGGCCGACAUAAUUCGUGUUGUGAAUCGUUUGACAGUUUAUAUACAGAGACCCCAGCCAUGCGUUUCUUGAUUUCUGCGUCAGAUAGUGCAUAAUCAGCACUAUGUUGACUAUUAUCUGAAGAGGAAGCUGAAAUAGAAGCAAACCG
This 2492-nucleotide long non-coding RNA is filed under the name Erythranthe guttata (spotted monkey flower). Its description in RNAcentral is "long non-coding RNA (EGUT_LNC001239)". Lineage: Eukaryota; Viridiplantae; Streptophyta; Magnoliopsida; Lamiales; Phrymaceae. The record is from RNAcentral.